UACGUAGGGGGCAAGCGUUGUCCGGAUUUAUUGGGCGUAAAGAGCGUGUAGGCGGCCACACAGGUCUGCUGUGAAAACUCGAGGCUCAACCUCGAGCUGUCGGUGGAAACCGUGUGGCUAGAGUCCGGAAGAGGAGAAUGGAAUUCCCGGUGUAGCGGUGAAAUGCGCAGAUAUCGGGAAGAACACCCGUGGCGAAGGCGGUUCUCUGGGACGGUACUGACGCUGAGACGCGAAAGCGUGGGGAGCGAACAGG
Molecule: ribosomal RNA, 253 nt
Filed under: uncultured bacterium
Lineage: Bacteria
Description: partial 16S ribosomal RNA
Rfam family: Bacterial small subunit ribosomal RNA
Source: RNAcentral